RNAcentral lists this long non-coding RNA (271 nucleotides) under Phaseolus vulgaris (common bean). Its description in RNAcentral is "long non-coding RNA (PVUL_LNC001557)". Lineage: Eukaryota; Viridiplantae; Streptophyta; Magnoliopsida; Fabales; Fabaceae. The record is from RNAcentral.
UACCCCAUCAUGCAUAUACAUAGUUCGUUUAGUAGGGCAAUUAGAAGCAAUAUGUCCAUAGCUUAAGCAUUUAAAACACUUCUUACUAGACGAUUUAGGUGGUGAUUUAGGCCUAGAAUUGGAAGUGGAAGGCUUAGACUCUCUAGGUUUGAAAGUAGAGUCCUUAGAAGGGAUAUUUGAAAAAGAGUUAUUUUUAUUUUUCCAAGAAGAGUGGUAGUAGUUAUCCUUAGAAGAAUUUUUGAAAGCAUUUUUCCUUGCAAGUUGAUUUUCA